Molecule: ribosomal RNA, 450 nt
Filed under: uncultured bacterium
Lineage: Bacteria
Description: partial 16S ribosomal RNA
Rfam family: Bacterial small subunit ribosomal RNA
Source: RNAcentral
GUGGGGAAUUUUGGACAAUGGGCGCAAGCCUGAUCCAGCAAUGCCGCGUGCAGGAAGAAGGCCUUCGGGUUGUAAACUGCUUUUGUGCGGAACGAAAAGGCUCUGGUUAAUACCUGGGGCUCAUGACGGUACCGUAAGAAUAAGCACCGGCUAACUACGUGCCAGCAGCCGCGGUAAUACGUAGGGUGCAAGCGUUAAUCGGAAUUACUGGGCGUAAAGCGUGCGCAGGCGGUUUUGUAAGACAGACGUGAAAUCCCCGGGCUCAACCUGGGAAUGGCGUUUGUGACUGCGAAGCUGGAGUGCGGCAGAGGGGGAUGGAAUUCCGCGUGUAGCAGUGAAAUGCGUAGAUAUGCGGAGGAACACCGAUGGCGAAGGCAAUCCCCUGGGCCUGCACUGACGCUCAUGCACGAAAGCGUGGGGAGCAAACAGGAUUAGAUACCCUUGUAGUCC